CCACCUCAGCAUGGCUGACGUCAGGAUACGACUGGCGCACUCUUUGCUGGGGGGCGACCGCAGCCGUCGCAUCAACCAGACGCUCGCCAGCACCGGCACCGCUGUGGUCAAGACCAAGGAGGCCGUGGGGGGGGCGCUGACGUCAGCGCGGGGGGCGCUGAGCAGCCUGUGGUCCUCUAUGACGACCGCCCCUGCCCCCAACGGCGCCCACGAUGACUC
This is a long non-coding RNA of Hyalella azteca, 219 nucleotides long. RefSeq lists it as uncharacterized. NCBI's taxonomy places the organism in Eukaryota, Metazoa, Arthropoda, Malacostraca, Amphipoda, Hyalellidae. The record is from RefSeq and is a predicted model, not a curated record. The transcript has 3 exons.